GCCGCGGUAGCUCAGCUGGGAGAGCGUUAGACUGAAGUUGAGCGAAUUCGUGCUCGCUUGAUAGCAAUCUACAGGUCACCCGUUCAAGCCGGGUUCGUGGCA
RNAcentral lists this transfer RNA (102 nucleotides) under Rhizoctonia solani. Its description in RNAcentral is "tRNA-Phe". It matches the Rfam family "tRNA". From Rfam's summary of the family: Transfer RNA (tRNA) molecules are approximately 80 nucleotides in length. Their secondary structure includes four short double-helical elements and three loops (D, anti-codon, and T loops). The record is from RNAcentral. Lineage: Eukaryota; Fungi; Basidiomycota; Agaricomycetes; Cantharellales; Ceratobasidiaceae.